AUACUUUUAUCGAUUUGAUCGUCCAAUCCUUAUAAAUUUAUAAGAAGCGUUUUUGAAUACGGAGAUUUAGCGGUCAAACGAUGUUUAUGUAGAGAAACUAUAAUCAUUUAUCGAAUUCAGUUGAUUUAAUGACAUUGGGUAGUGAAUGUCGUGUUUCGUUGUAAGUAACGUUAUUAAUUAUGUAGUUAUCAUUCCAAAAGAAUCGGAAACGCAGAUGUGAUUAAUAUUAAAAUUACAUAAAGAAGGGAUAUUAUAUAGGCAGAUUGCAGGAUUAGUAGAGAGAUGUCUAUAUUUAUAAUACAUUAUAUUAUUAAAAAAUCAAAAACUGAAGAAACAUUUACGAACAAACACCUUAGUUCAAAGAAACUGAGUCAUGGAGAAAAGUAAAUUAUAAUACGCGAAAUAAAAAAAGAUCCAAAUACUUUAACUACAAAUCUCACUUAAAUAAUUGCGUCAGAGUUUAAAAGGAUGUUCAUCCUGAAUUAUAUCGCAGGAUUUUACGCAAGAAUAAUUUUUAUAGUAGAAUUUUAAGAAAGAAACCAUUUAUUAAGAAGAGCAUGAAGCUAAGCAUUUGAAAUUUACAAAAGAAUAGAUAAAUGAAGAUAACGCUUUCUGGGAUUAUUGAUCUUUUCUGACGAAAGCAAAUUUAAUAUAUUUAGAUCAGAUGGUGCUGGUUUUGUUUGGAGAAAACAAUUUAGAAAUGAACGUGAAAAGUUUACGUUCGAUUGUAAAAUACGAUGGUGAUUUGCAAAAUAAUGAUCCCAAGCAUACGACUAAAAUUAUAAAAGAAUGAUUAUUAUAUAAUACACUGCAUGGAUUAAAUAUAUCUCCAAAGUGCGGAUAUUAACCUUAAAAUUUAUGGAUGGAAAUCAACAAAAGAUUAAAAAAUUAUGAAAUAAUUUCAGGGGAUGUAUUAAAACAAAAAAUUGUAGAAUUAUAGAAUUCUAUCGAAUCUAUAACUGAAAAGUUACUACACAACAAGCGAUAUUGUGUUAAAGUUAUAAUUGUAACCAAAGGAGGUCCAACUAAAUAUUAAAUAAAAGAAAAUACGUAUAA
This is a long non-coding RNA of Vespula pensylvanica (western yellowjacket), 1056 nucleotides long. RefSeq lists it as uncharacterized. The record is from RefSeq and is a predicted model, not a curated record. The transcript is spliced from 2 exons. NCBI's taxonomy places the organism in Eukaryota, Metazoa, Arthropoda, Insecta, Hymenoptera, Vespidae.